AUUUCGAUAGCUCAGUCGGAUAGAGCGGUCUUCUUCGGAAGACUUGUCGCGGGUUCGAUUCCCGCUCGAA
RNAcentral lists this transfer RNA (70 nucleotides) under Pseudomonas anguilliseptica. Its description in RNAcentral is "tRNA-OTHER". It matches the Rfam family "tRNA". From Rfam's summary of the family: Transfer RNA (tRNA) molecules are approximately 80 nucleotides in length. Their secondary structure includes four short double-helical elements and three loops (D, anti-codon, and T loops). Further hydrogen bonds mediate the characteristic L-shaped molecular structure. tRNAs have two regions of fundamental functional importance: the anti-codon, which is responsible for specific mRNA codon recognition, and the 3' end, to which the tRNAs corresponding amino acid is attached (by aminoacyl-tRNA synthetases). tRNAs cope with the degeneracy of the genetic code in two manners: having more than one tRNA (with a specific anti-codon) for a particular amino acid; and 'wobble' base-pairing, i.e. permitting non-standard base-pairing at the 3rd anti-codon position. Lineage: Bacteria; Pseudomonadati; Pseudomonadota; Gammaproteobacteria; Pseudomonadales; Pseudomonadaceae. The record is from RNAcentral.